Molecule: ribosomal RNA, 138 nt
Filed under: Sanghuangporus quercicola
Lineage: Eukaryota; Fungi; Basidiomycota; Agaricomycetes; Hymenochaetales; Hymenochaetaceae
Description: 5.8S ribosomal RNA
Rfam family: 5.8S ribosomal RNA (bases 16-138)
About the family: 5.8S ribosomal RNA (5.8S rRNA) is a component of the large subunit of the eukaryotic ribosome. It is transcribed by RNA polymerase I as part of the 45S precursor that also contains 18S and 28S rRNA. Functionally, it is thought that 5.8S rRNA may be involved in ribosome translocation.
Source: RNAcentral
GGCGAAAAUAAAUACAACUUUCAACAACGGAUCUCUUGGCUCUCGCAUCGAUGAAGAACGCAGCGAAAUGCGAUAAGUAAUGUGAAUUGCAGAAUUCAGUGAAUCAUCGAAUCUUUGAACGCACCUUGCGCCCCUUGG